AACGCACAUUGCGCCCGCCAGUAUUCUGGCGGGCAUGCCUGUUCGAGCGUCAUUUCAACCCUCGUGCCCCCUCCGGGGGGCGCGGUGUUGGGGCUCGGCCCGCCCGUCGUGGCGCGCCGUCCCUGAAAUCUAGUGGCGGUCUCGCGAUAGCCUCCUCUGCGUAGUAGCAAUAUCUCGCACUGGGGCCGAUCGGGGCCACGCCGUUAAACCCCCCACUUCUGAAAGGUUGACCUCGGAUCAGGUAGGAAUACCCGCUGAACUUAA
Molecule: unclassified non-coding RNA, 264 nt
Filed under: uncultured fungus
Lineage: Eukaryota; Fungi
Description: partial contains 5.8S ribosomal RNA, internal transcribed spacer 2, and large subunit ribosomal RNA
Rfam family: 5.8S ribosomal RNA (bases 1-52)
Source: RNAcentral